Molecule: long non-coding RNA, 201 nt
Filed under: Cucumis sativus (cucumber)
Lineage: Eukaryota; Viridiplantae; Streptophyta; Magnoliopsida; Cucurbitales; Cucurbitaceae
Description: long non-coding RNA (CSAT_LNC001036)
Source: RNAcentral
UUGAUUGUAAAAAAGUUGACAUUUACGACAAAUUGAAGGUGAAAUGACGAAAAUACCCUUAUUUCAUAUUAAACAUUUCAAUUUAAGAACCUGCGAGAUGUCUACCAGAUGUUUGCGAGAUAAAAUAAUAAUAAUAAUAAAUUGCUAACAUCCUUUGAAACAUCUCUAAAACAACCUUAAAUCAACCAUAAAUCAACUUGA